This 468-nucleotide ribosomal RNA is filed under the name uncultured bacterium. RNAcentral describes it as "partial 16S ribosomal RNA". It matches the Rfam family "Bacterial small subunit ribosomal RNA", at positions 28 to 507 of the family's 1533-position model. The record is from RNAcentral.
GACGAACGCUGGCGGCGUGCUUAACACAUGCAAGUCGAACGGAAAGGCCCUGCUUUUGCGGGGUGCUCGAGUGGCGAACGGGUGAGUAACACGUGAGUAACCUGCCCCUGACUUUGGGAUAACUUCAGGAAACUGGGGCUAAUACCGGAUAGGAGCUCCUGCUGCAUGGUGGGGGUUGGAAAGAUUCGGCGGUUGGGGAUGGACUCGCGGCUUAUCAGCUUGUUGGUGGGGUAGUGGCUUACCAAGGCUUUGACGGGUAGCCGGCCUGAGAGGGUGACCGGCCACAUUGGGACUGAGAUACGGCCCAGACUCCUACGGGAGGCAGCAGUGGGGAAUAUUGCACAAUGGGCGGAAGCCUGAUGCAGCAACGCCGCGUGCGGGAUGACGGCCUUCGGGUUGUAAACCGCUUUCGCCUGUGACGAAGCGUGAGUGACGGUAAUGGGUAAAGAAGCACCGGCUAACUACGUG